Molecule: ribosomal RNA, 492 nt
Filed under: uncultured bacterium
Lineage: Bacteria
Description: bacterial SSU rRNA
Rfam family: Bacterial small subunit ribosomal RNA
Source: RNAcentral
GACGAACGCUUGCGGCGUGCCUAAGAAAUGCAAGUCGAGCGAGGUCGAGGCUUCGGCCAAAGGCCUAGCGGCGAACGGUCGCGUAACACGUAAGCAACCUGCCCUGAGGUCUGGGAUAGCCCGCCGAAAGGCGGAUUAAUACCGGAUGUGGACGAUGCACCGCAUGGUUGUAUUGUUCAAAGCAGCGAUGCGCUUCAGGAUGGGCUUGCGGCCUAUCAGCUAGUUGGUGAGGGUAACGGCCCACCAAGGCGACGACGGGUAGCUGGUCUGAGAGGAUGGUCAGCCGGACUGGGACUGAGACACGGCCCAGACUCCUACGGGGGGCAGCAAUUAGGAAUCUUGCGCAAUGGGCGAAAGCCUGACGCAGCGACGCCGCGUGACCGAUGAAGUCCUUCGGGAGUGUAAGGUACGUUUGUCAGGGGAAGGAAGGAAGUGUGACGGUACCCGUGCGAAUAAGCCCGGCGUACUACGUGCCAGCAGCCGCGGUAAUCA